RNAcentral lists this ribosomal RNA (434 nucleotides) under uncultured bacterium. RNAcentral's name for it is "partial 16S ribosomal RNA". It matches the Rfam family "Bacterial small subunit ribosomal RNA", at positions 29 to 506 of the family's 1533-position model. The record is from RNAcentral.
ACGAACGCUGGCGGCAUGCCUAACACAUGCAAGUCGAACGAGAUCCUUCGGGGUCUAGUGGCGCACGGGUGCGUAACGCGUGGGAAUCUGCCCUUAGGUUCGGAAUAACAGUUAGAAAUGACUGCUAAUACCGGAUGAUGACGUUAAGUCCAAAGAUUUAUCGCCUGAGGAUGAGCCCGCGUAGGAUUAGCUAGUUGGUGUGGUAAAGGCGCACCAAGGCGACGAUCCUUAGCUGGUCUGAGAGGAUGAUCAGCCACACUGGGACUGAGACACGGCCCAGACUCCUACGGGAGGCAGCAGUGGGGAAUAUUGGACAAUGGGCGCAAGCCUGAUCCAGCAAUGCCGCGUGAGUGAUGAAGGCCUUAGGGUUGUAAAGCUCUUUUACCCGGGAUGAUAAUGACAGUACCGGGAGAAUAAGCCCCGGCUAACUCCGU